AGCGAACGCUGGCGGCAGGCUUAACACAUGCAAGUCGAACGGUCCUUCGGGAUAGUGGCGGACGGGUGAGUAACACGUGGGAACGUACCCUUAGGUUCGGAACAACACAGGGAAACUUGUGCUAAUACCGGAUAAGCCCUUCGGGGGAAAGAUUUAUCGCCUUUGGAGCGGCCCGCGUCUGAUUAGCUUGUUGGUGAGGUAAUGGCUCACCAAGGCUACGAUCAGUAGCUGGUCUGAGAGGAUGGCCAGCCACACUGGGACUGAGACACGGCCCAGACUCCUACGGGAGGCAGCAGUGGGGAAUCUUGCGCAAUGGGCGAAAGCCUGACGCAGCCAUGCCGCGUGGAUGAUGAAGGUCUUAGGAUUGUAAAAUCCUUUCACCGGGGACGAUAAUGACGGUACCCGGAGAAGAAGCCCCGGCUAACUUCGUGCCAGCCGCCGCGGUAAUWC
This 450-nucleotide ribosomal RNA is filed under the name Caulobacter sp. enrichment culture clone D_8m3_OTU7. Its description in RNAcentral is "bacterial SSU rRNA". It matches the Rfam family "Bacterial small subunit ribosomal RNA", at positions 29 to 526 of the family's 1533-position model. The record is from RNAcentral. Lineage: Bacteria; Pseudomonadati; Pseudomonadota; Alphaproteobacteria; Caulobacterales; Caulobacteraceae.